AAAUGUGUAAGUAACUAUGCACGUCUUGACGGUACCUAAUCAGAAAGCCACGGCUAACUACGUGCCAGCAGCCGCGGUAAUACGUAGGUGGCAAGCGUUAUCCGGAAUUAUUGGGCGUAAAGCGCGCUUAGGCGGUUUUUUAAGUCUGAUGUGAAAGCCCACGGCUCAACCGUGGAGGGUCAUUGGAAACUGGAAAACUUGAGUGCAGAAGAGGAAAGUGGAAUUCCAUGUGUAGCGGUGAAAUGCGCAGAGAUAUGGAGGAACACCAGUGGCGAAGGCGACUUUCUGGUCUGUAACUGACGCUGAUGUGCGAAAGCGUGGGGAUCAAACAGGAUUAGAUACCCUGGUAGUCCACGCCGUAAACGAUGAGUGCUAAGUGUUAGGGGGUUUCCGCCCCUUAGUGCUGCAGCUAACGCAUUAAGCACUCCGCCUAGGGAGUACGACCGCAAGGUUGAAACUCAAAGGAAUUGACGGGGACGCGCACAAGCGGUGGAGCAUGUGGUUUAAUUCGAAGCAACGCGAAGAACCUUACCAAAUCUUGACAUCCUCUGACUCCUCUAGAAAUAGAGUUUUCCCCUUCGGGGGACAGAGUGACAGGUGGUGCAUGGUUGUCGUCAGCUCGUGUCGUGAGAUGUUGGGUUAAGUCCCGCAACGAGCGCAACCCUUAAGCUUAGUUGCCAUCAUUAAGUUGGGCACUCUAAGUUGACUGCCGGUGACAAACCGGAGGAAGGUGGGGAUGACGUCAAAUCAUCAUGCCCCUUAUGAUUUGGGCUACACACGUGCUACAAUGGACAAUACAAAGGGCAGCGAAACCGCGAGGUCAAGCAAAUCCCAUAAAGUUGUUCUCAGUUCGGAUUGUAGUCUGCAACUCGACUAUAUGAAGCUGGAAUCGCUAGUAAUCGUAGAUCAGCAUGCUACGGUGAAUACGUUCCCGGGUCUUGUACACACCGCCCGUCACACCACGAGAGUUUGUAACACCCGAAGCCGGUGGAGUAACCAUUUGGAGCUAGCCGUCGAAGGUGGGACAAAUGAUUGGGGUGAAGUCGUAACAAGGUAGCCGUAUCGGAAGGUGCGGCUGGAUCACCUCCUUUCUA
RNAcentral lists this ribosomal RNA (1094 nucleotides) under Staphylococcus epidermidis Scl19. Its description in RNAcentral is "bacterial SSU rRNA". It matches the Rfam family "Bacterial small subunit ribosomal RNA", at positions 449 to 1533 of the family's 1533-position model. The record is from RNAcentral. Lineage: Bacteria; Bacillati; Bacillota; Bacilli; Caryophanales; Staphylococcaceae.